GAGUUUGAUCCUGGCUCAGAUUGAACGCUGGCGGCAGGCCUAACACAUGCAAGUCGAGCGGUAACAGAUCCAGCUUGCUGGAUGCUGACGAGCGGCGGACGGGUGAGUAAUGCAUAGGAAUCUGCCCGAUAGUGGGGGAUAACCUGGGGAAACCCAGGCUAAUACCGCAUACGUCCUACGGGAGAAAGGGGGCUCCGGCUCCCGCUAUGGGAUGAGCCUAUGUCGGAUUAGCUAGUUGGUGAGGUAACGGCUCACCAAGGCCGCGAUCCGUAGCUGGUCUGAGAGGAUGAUCAGCCACAUCGGGACUGAGACACGGCCCGAACUCCUACGGGAGGCAGCAGUGGGGAAUAUUGGACAAUGGGGGCAACCCUGAUCCAGCCAUGCCGCGUGUGUGAAGAAGGCCCUCGGGUUGUAAAGCACUUUCAGCGAGGAAGAACGCCUAGCGGUUAAUACCCGCUAGGAAAGACAUCACUCGCAGAAGAAGCACCGGCUAACUCCGUGCCAGCAGCCGCGGUAAUACGGAGGGUGCAAGCGUUAAUCGGAAUUACUGGGCGUAAAGCGCGCGUAGGUGGCUUGAUAAGCCGGUUGUGAAAGCCCCGGGCUCAACCUGGGAACGGCAUCCGGAACUGUCAAGCUAGAGUGCAGGAGAGGAAGGUAGAAUUCCCGGUGUAGCGGUGAAAUGCGUAGAGAUCGGGAGGAAUACCAGUGGCGAAGGCGGCCUUCUGGACUGACACUGACACUGGGGUGCGAAAGCGUGGGUAGCAAACAGGAUUAGAUACCCUGGUAGUCCACGCCGUAAACGAUGUCGACCAGCCGUUGGGUGCCUAGCGCACUUUGUGGCGAAGUUAACGCGAUAAGUCGACCGCCUGGGGAGUACGGCCGCAAGGUUAAAACUCAAAUGAAUUGACGGGGGCCCGCACAAGCGGUGGAGCAUGUGGUUUAAUUCGAUGCAACGCGAAGAACCUUACCUACUCUUGACAUCCUGCGAAUUUGGUAGAGAUACCUUAGUGCCUUCGGGAACGCAGAGACAGGUGCUGCAUGGCUGUCGUCAGCUCGUGUUGUGA
Molecule: ribosomal RNA, 1064 nt
Filed under: uncultured Gammaproteobacteria bacterium
Lineage: Bacteria; Pseudomonadati; Pseudomonadota; Gammaproteobacteria
Description: bacterial SSU rRNA
Rfam family: Bacterial small subunit ribosomal RNA
Source: RNAcentral